This is a long non-coding RNA of Sander lucioperca (pikeperch), 101 nucleotides long. RefSeq lists it as uncharacterized. The transcript has 3 exons. The record is from RefSeq and is a predicted model, not a curated record. NCBI's taxonomy places the organism in Eukaryota, Metazoa, Chordata, Actinopteri, Perciformes, Percidae.
CAAAGUUGGUAAGAUAUUGUUUGGUGAGUUUCUACAGUUUGGUCGAAGUCGAGACAACAGAAAAGUGUUAAAUUUGCUAACGUUAGUGUCGUUGGAAUGCG